RNAcentral lists this long non-coding RNA (311 nucleotides) under Rosa chinensis. RNAcentral describes it as "sRNA RchiOBHm_Chr7g0236211". The record is from RNAcentral. Lineage: Eukaryota; Viridiplantae; Streptophyta; Magnoliopsida; Rosales; Rosaceae.
UUUCCAUAAUUCAACAUUACUACAUUUAUCUUAAUUUUGAAGAUUUUCUCUGUUUUUUUUUUUCCUGCUAUGCAAGUUUUGAUGUGUCAUAGAUCACGAGAACGGUGCUUGUGUGUUUCCUUUGGUUACUUUUCGUUAAUAAAAUGUUUGUUACCCCAUGUACUUCUGGCAAAUUUUUCACACUCCCCCGUGAAGUAAAGAAAAUGUGAAUGCAAAUAUGGAAUGACAUUGGUGAGAGCGCGGCAGACCAAGACCGCAUGUUGUUGGAGUUAGAAAGGGAAUGCUUAGAAGUUUACAGGAGGAAGGUAUAA